RNAcentral lists this ribosomal RNA (468 nucleotides) under uncultured bacterium. Its description in RNAcentral is "partial 16S ribosomal RNA". It matches the Rfam family "Bacterial small subunit ribosomal RNA", at positions 28 to 507 of the family's 1533-position model. The record is from RNAcentral.
GACGAACGCUGGCGGCGUGCUUAACACAUGCAAGUCGAACGGAAAGGCCCUGCUUUUGUGGGGUGCUCGAGUGGCGAACGGGUGAGUAACACGUGAGUAACCUGCCCUUGACUUUGGGAUAACUUCAGGAAACUGGGGCUAAUACCGGAUAAGAGCUCCUGCUGCAUGGUGGGGGUUGGAAAGUUUCGGCGGUUGGGGAUGGACUCGCGGCUUAUCAGCUUGUUGGUGGGGUAGUGGCUUACCAAGGCUUCGACGGGUAGCCGGCCUGAGAGGGUGACCGGCCACAUUGGGACUGAGAUACGGCCCAGACUCCUACGGGAGGCAGCAGUGGGGAAUAUUGCACAAUGGGCGGAAGCCUGAUGCAGCAACGCCGCGUGCGGGAUGACGGCCUUCGGGUUGUAAACCGCUUUCGCCUGUGACGAAGCGUGAGUGACGGUAAUGGGUAAAGAAGCACCGGCUAACUACGUG